Molecule: ribosomal RNA, 254 nt
Filed under: uncultured Bellilinea sp.
Lineage: Bacteria; Bacillati; Chloroflexota; Anaerolineae; Anaerolineales; Anaerolineaceae
Description: partial 16S ribosomal RNA
Rfam family: Bacterial small subunit ribosomal RNA
Source: RNAcentral
AACGUAGGAGGCGAGCGUUAUCCGGAUUUACUGGGUGUAAAGCGUGUGCAGGCGGUACGGCAAGUUGGAUGUGAAAGCUCCUGGCUUAACUGGGAGAGGUCGUUCAAAACUGCCGAACUAGAGUGUGGGAGAGGGAGGUGGAAUUCCGGGUGUAGUGGUGAAAUGCGUAGAUAUCCGGAGGAACACCAGUGGCGAAAGCGGCCUCCUGGCCCAUUUACUGACGCUCAGACACGAAAGCUAGGGGAGCGAACGGG